Molecule: ribosomal RNA, 484 nt
Filed under: uncultured bacterium
Lineage: Bacteria
Description: partial 16S ribosomal RNA
Rfam family: Bacterial small subunit ribosomal RNA
Source: RNAcentral
GACGAACGCUGGCGGCGUGCUUAACACAUGCAAGUCGAACGAUGAAGCCGGAGCUUGCUCUGGUGAAUUAGUGGCGAACGGGUGAGUAACACGUGAGUAACCUGCCCUUGACUCUGGGAUAACUGCGGGAAACUGUAGCUAAUACCGGAUACGACCCUCGGAGGCAUCUCCUGGGGGUGGAAAGAAUUUGGGUCAAGGAUGGACUCGCGGCCUAUCAGCCAGUUGGUGAGGUAAAGGCUCACAAAGGCGACGACGGGUAGCCGGCCUGAGAGGGUGACCGGCCACACUGGGACUGAGACACGGCCCGGACUCCUACGGGAGGCAGCAGUGGGGAAUAUUGCACAAUGGGCGCAAGCCUGAUGCAGCAACGCCGCGUGAGGGAUGACGGCCUUCGGGUUGUAAACCUCUUUUAGCAGGGAAGAAGCGAAAGUGACGGUACCUGCAGAAAAAGCACCGGCUAACUACGUGCCAGCCGCCGCAGUAA